AGGGGAUCUUCCGCAAUGGGCGAAAGCCUGACGGAGCAACGCCGCGUGAGUGAUGAAGGUCUUCGGAUCGUAAAACUCUGUUAUUAGGGAAGAACAUAUGUGUAAGUAACUGUGCACAUCUUGACGGUACCUAAUCAGAAAGCCACGGCUAACUACGUGCCAGCAGCCGCGGUAAUACGUAGGUGGCAAGCGUUAUCCGGAAUUAUUGGGCGUAAAGCGCGCGUAGGCGGUUUUUUAAGUCUGAUGUGAAAGCCCACGGCUCAACCGUGGAGGGUCAUUGGAAACUGGAAAACUUGAGUGCAGAAGAGGAAAGUGGAAUUCCAUGUGUAGCGGUGAAAUGCGCAGAGAUAUGGAGGAACACCAGUGGCGAAGGCGACUUUCUGGUCUGUAACUGACGCUGAUGUGCGAAAGCGUGGGGAUCAAACAGGAUUAGAUACCCUGGUAGUCCACGCCGUAAACGAUGAGUGCUAAGUGUUAGGGGGUUUCCGCCCCUUAGUGCUGCAGCUAACGCAUUAAGCACUCCGCCUGGGGAGUACGACCGCAAGGUUG
RNAcentral lists this ribosomal RNA (549 nucleotides) under uncultured bacterium. RNAcentral's name for it is "bacterial SSU rRNA". It matches the Rfam family "Bacterial small subunit ribosomal RNA", at positions 356 to 896 of the family's 1533-position model. The record is from RNAcentral.